This 252-nucleotide ribosomal RNA is filed under the name uncultured bacterium. RNAcentral describes it as "partial 16S ribosomal RNA". It matches the Rfam family "Bacterial small subunit ribosomal RNA", at positions 524 to 776 of the family's 1533-position model. The record is from RNAcentral.
UACAGAGGUCCCGAGCGUUGUUCGGAUUCACUGGGCGUAAAGGGUGCGUAGGCGGUCGGGUAAGUCUGAUGUGAAAUCUCACAGCUUAACUGUGAAACUGCAUUGGAUACUAUUCGGCUUGAGAGUUGGAGGGGGACUGGAAUUCUUGGUGUAGCAGUGAAAUGCGUAGAUAUCAAGAGGAACACCAGUGGCGAAGGCGAGUCCCUGGACAACUUCUGACGCUGAGGCACGAAAGCUAGGGGAGCAAACAGG